AACGAACGCUGGCGGCAUGCCUAACACAUGCAAGUCGAACGAGACCUUCGGGUCUAGUGGCGCACGGGUGCGUAACGCGUGGGAACCUGCCCUUAGGUUCGGAAUAACUCCCCGAAAGGGGUGCUAAUACCGGAUAAUGUCUUCGGACCCAAGAUUUAUCGCCUUUGGAUGGGCCCGCGUUGGAUUAGCUAGUUGGUAGGGUAAAAGCCUACCAAGGCGACGAUCCAUAGCUGGUCUGAGAGGAGGAUCAGCCACACUGGGACUGAGACACGGCCCAGACUCCUACGGGAGGCAGCAGGUGGGAAUAUUGGACAAUGGGCGAAAGCCUGAUCCAGCAAUGCCGCGUGAGUGAUGAAGGCCUUAGGGUUGUAAAGCUCUUUUACCCGGGAUGAUAAUGACAGUACCGGGAGAAUAAGCGCCGGCUAACUCCGUG
RNAcentral lists this ribosomal RNA (433 nucleotides) under uncultured bacterium. RNAcentral describes it as "partial 16S ribosomal RNA". It matches the Rfam family "Bacterial small subunit ribosomal RNA", at positions 29 to 507 of the family's 1533-position model. The record is from RNAcentral.